UAGACAAGAAUUCCAGAGACC
Molecule: microRNA, 21 nt
Filed under: Prunus persica (peach)
Lineage: Eukaryota; Viridiplantae; Streptophyta; Magnoliopsida; Rosales; Rosaceae
Description: ppe-miR6279
Source: miRBase by way of RNAcentral